This 302-nucleotide ribosomal RNA is filed under the name uncultured bacterium. Its description in RNAcentral is "partial 16S ribosomal RNA". It matches the Rfam family "Bacterial small subunit ribosomal RNA", at positions 508 to 809 of the family's 1533-position model. The record is from RNAcentral.
GCAGCAGCCACGGUAAUACGUAGGGGGCAAGCGUUAUCCGGAAUUACUGGGUGUAAAGGGAGCGUAGACGGUUAAACAAGUCUGAAGUGAAAUGCCGGGGCUCAACCCCGGAGCUGCUUUGGGAACUGUAGAACUGGAGUGUCGGAGGGGUAAGCGGAAUUCCCAGUGUAGCGGUGAAAUGCGUAGAUAUUGGGAGGAACACCGGCGGCGAAGGCGGCUUACUGGACGACAACUGACGUUGAGGCUCGAAGGCGUGGGUAGCAAACAGGAUUAGAUACCCCUGUAGUCCCUGUCUCUUAUAA